This 448-nucleotide ribosomal RNA is filed under the name uncultured bacterium. RNAcentral describes it as "bacterial SSU rRNA". It matches the Rfam family "Bacterial small subunit ribosomal RNA", at positions 355 to 825 of the family's 1533-position model. The record is from RNAcentral.
UGAGGAAUAUUGGACAAUGGGCGCAAGCCUGAUCCAGCCAUGCCGCGUGAGUGACGAAGGCCUUAGGGUUGUAAAGCUCUUUUUGGCGGGGAAGAUAAUGACGGUACCCGCAGAAUAAGCUCCGGCUAACUUCGUGCCAGCAGCCGCGGUAAUACGAAGGGAGCUAGCGUUGUUCGGAAUCACUGGGCGUAAAGCGCACGUAGGUGGGCAGUUAAGUCAGGGGUGAAAGCCCGAGGCUCAACCUCGGAAUUGCCUCUGAUACUGCAAAUCUCGAGUCCGAUAGAGGUGAGUGGAAUUCCUAGUGUAGAGGUGAAAUUCGUAGAUAUUAGGAAGAACACCAGUGGCGAAGGCGGCUCACUGGAUCGGUACUGACGCUGAGGUGCGAAAGCGUGGGGAGCAAACGGGAUUAGAUACCCCCGUAGUCCCUGAGCGGGCUGGCAAGGCGCAU